UUACGGCAAUAUCACGUUAAAACAAUGGUUCCCGUACGAUCACCGAGGUUAAGCAACGUCGAUCCUGGUCAGUACCUACAUGGGUAGCCGUUUGGGAAUACAAGAUGUUGUAAG
Molecule: ribosomal RNA, 114 nt
Filed under: Acanthosepion pharaonis
Lineage: Eukaryota; Metazoa; Mollusca; Cephalopoda; Sepiida; Sepiidae
Source: RNAcentral